RNAcentral lists this non-coding RNA (102 nucleotides) under Paenibacillus bovis. Its description in RNAcentral is "TPP sequence". It matches the Rfam family "TPP riboswitch aptamer (THI element)". From Rfam's summary of the family: Vitamin B(1) in its active form thiamin pyrophosphate (TPP) is an essential coenzyme that is synthesised by coupling of pyrimidine and thiazole moieties in bacteria. The previously detected thiamin-regulatory element, thi box was extended, resulting in a new, highly conserved RNA secondary structure, the THI element, which is widely distributed in eubacteria and also occurs in some archaea. The record is from Rfam by way of RNAcentral. Lineage: Bacteria; Bacillati; Bacillota; Bacilli; Caryophanales; Paenibacillaceae.
UGAAUUCACUAGGGGAGCCGUAGAGGCUGAGACGGAUAUGAAUCCGGACCCUUGGAACCUGAUCUGGGUUAUACCAGCGGAGGGAAGUGGACGCGGAUAUUC